GAUGAACGCUGGCGGCGUGCCUAAUACAUGCAAGUCGAGCGAACAGAUGAGGAGCUUGCUCCUCUGACGUUAGCGGCGGACGGGUGAGUAACACGUGGAUAACCUACCUAUAAGACUGGGAUAACUUCGGGAAACCGGAGCUAAUACCGGAUAAUAUAUUGAACCGCAUGGUUCAAUAGUGAAAGACGGUUUUGCUGUCACUUAUAGAUGGAUCCGCGUCGCAUUAGCUUGUUGGUAAGGUAACGGCUUACCAAGGCAACGAUGCGUAGCCGACCUGAAAGGGUGAUCGGCCACACUGGAACUGAGGCACAGACCAGACUCCUGCGGGAGGCAGAAGUAGGGAAUCUUCCGCAAUGGGCGAAAGCCGGACGGAGCAACGCCGCGUGAGUGAUGAAGGUCUUCGGAUCGUAAAACUCUGUUAUUAGGGAAGAACAAAUGUGUAAGUAACUAUGCACGUCUUGACGGUACCUAAUCAGAAAGCCACGGCUAACUACGUG
This 497-nucleotide ribosomal RNA is filed under the name uncultured bacterium. RNAcentral describes it as "partial 16S ribosomal RNA". It matches the Rfam family "Bacterial small subunit ribosomal RNA", at positions 28 to 507 of the family's 1533-position model. The record is from RNAcentral.